AGAGUUUGAUCCUGGCUCAGAACGAACGCUGGCGGCAGGCCUAACACAUGCAAGUCGAGCGAGGACUUCGGUCCUAGCGGCGGACGGGUGAGUAACGCGUGGGAACGUGCCCUUUGCUACGGAAUAGCCCUGGGAAACUGGGAGUAAUACCGUAUGUGCCCUUCGGGGGAAAGAUUUAUCGGCAAAGGAUCGGCCCGCGUUGGAUUAGGUAGUUGGUGGGGUAAUGGCCUACCAAGCCGACGAUCCAUAGCUGGUUUGAGAGGAUGAUCAGCCACACUGGGACUGAAACACGGCCCAGACUCCUACGGGAGGCAGCAGUGGGGAAUCUUAGACAAUGGGGGAAACCCUGAUCUAGCCAUGCCGCGUGAGCGAUGAAGGCCUUAGGGUUGUAAAGCUCUUUCAGUGGGGAAGAUAAUGACGGUACCCACAGAAGAAGCCCCGGCUAACUCCGUGCCAGCAGCCGCGGUAAUACGGAGGGGGCUAGCGUUGUUCGGAAUUACUGGGCGUAAAGCGCACGUAGGCGGACUGGAAAGUCAGAGGUGAAAUCCCAGGGCUCAACCUUGGAACUGCCUUUAAAACUCCCAGUCUUGAGGUCGAGAGAGGUGAGUGGAAUUCCGAGUGUAGAGGUGAAAUUCGUAGAUAUUCGGAGGAACACCAGUGGCGAAGGCGGCUCACUGGCUCGAUACUGACGCUGAGACGCGAAAGCGUGGGUAGCAAACAGGAUUAGAUACCCUGGUAGUC
Molecule: ribosomal RNA, 741 nt
Filed under: uncultured bacterium
Lineage: Bacteria
Description: bacterial SSU rRNA
Rfam family: Bacterial small subunit ribosomal RNA
Source: RNAcentral